CCUUGCAGGUGAACAGCUAUAAUUUAAACAGCACGGUAUCAACAACAUAUGUUAAUUAUGUAAUUUGCUUCUGGGAACCACAGAGCUUCCCUUGAUGUUGUUAAUCUCUUCUUAUCAGCUCAACUCCUUUCUGUCUUUCUUAGGAUAUGACGGCAAACUCCAAAAGGACAAGAGCAUGUCCCACGAGCCUAACAAGACACAGCAAUGCAGGACAGGUGCAAGGAAACAGAAGUGUUCUGAGAGGAAGAACUAAUCUGAGAACUUGAAUAAGUUUCCUAUGCAUGCCAGCUCACCUCUAAACCUUGCUAAGUCUCCUCCUUAAUGUAAGAAGUGCACUUCUAAAUUAAUUCUAAAUCCAUUGGUAUUAUUCCCAUAAAACAAUUCUGCAUAUACAGUAUUGUCACAGAAUGGUAAAAAAAAUGUAUGUGGGCUGAAGCAAUAAUGUUAUAUUGAUGUUGCCACUUUACAGGUGGUGAAAUGUAUAAAUAAUGUGUAAAAAGUUUAGUUUGAACUUUUUCCUAUUUUUCCCUUCAUCAGGGUGAAAUUGCAUGGACUAUGACUAGAAAUAUUUGCAAUACAUAACGUGGUUCACUAAAGGGAGAUGGUAGUGGACUGCGGCUCCCAGCAUUCUUGACGAGGGGAUAUGCUGGCUAGGCCUGAGGGCAGUUGCCGUGCAGGGCCUCCGUUUGCCUUCCUCUGAUACCAACAGUGACCUCACAAUAAGUCAGGUUUUCUGAAAACUACAGUAGGUGGAGAAAUUUUCACAGGGCAGUAUAAUGUUGGAUGCACUUCAUCAGUGUGAUGUCUUGGGGCCCCCUAUCCUCGAUAUAUCAUUGUUCCGGCAUGGCUGACAGUGGAAUCUAAUCACUCCAAGAUUAAAAUAUGGAAAUAUCUAAGCAGGCAUGAGUACCUCUCUAAAGAAAGAAUGUCAUUUUCCUUACUCGGAGGAUAGGAUAGAUAUUAUUGAUUAAAAGAUUGGCAAUUGGCCUGACUUUAACAGAACUGAAGAGCAAGGAACCUGGCUUUGUUUCUGUGUUUCAAAACAUUUUACCAUCCUGCAUUUUGCUCGAUGAGGUGUUAGCACCCUUUAAUUUGCACUUGGGAACAGCCCUGAAGUUUUAGAAGGAACACGGGCCAUGGACAACAGAGGCAUCGGCUUUGACCAAGGACAGAAUAGGAGUACAUUCUUUUCCAGAGAAGUGAAAACUGUGUACUGGCAUCGAAGACUAAGAACGACAUAAUCUGCAGGCAGA
Molecule: long non-coding RNA, 1253 nt
Filed under: Pogona vitticeps (central bearded dragon)
Lineage: Eukaryota; Metazoa; Chordata; Lepidosauria; Squamata; Agamidae
Description: lncRNA (ENSPVIG00000022237.1)
Source: RNAcentral